GACGAACGCUGGCGGCGUGCUUAACACAUGCAAGUCGAGCGGAAAGGCCCUUUCGGGGGUACUCGAGCGGCGAACGGGUGAGUAACACGUGAGUAAUCUGCCCCUGGCUUUGGGAUAGCCACCGGAAACGGUGAUUAAUACCGGAUACGACCACUUCUCGCAUGGGAUGGUGGUGGAAAGUUUUUCGGCCAGGGAUGUGCUCGCGGCCUAUACGCUUGAUGGUGAGGUAAUGGCUCAACAUGGCUUCCACGGGUAGCCGGCCUGAGAGGGUGACCGGUCACACUGGGACUGAGACACGGCCCAGACUCCGACGGGAGGCAGCAGUGGGGAAUAUUGGACAAUGGGCGGAAGCCUGAUCCAGCAACGCCGCGUGAGGGAUGACGGCCUUCGGGUUGUAAACCUCUUUCAGCAGGGAAGAAGCGCAAGUGACGGUACCUGCAGAAGAAGCACCGGCCAACUACGUGCCAGCCGCCGCCGUAA
Molecule: ribosomal RNA, 480 nt
Filed under: uncultured bacterium
Lineage: Bacteria
Description: partial 16S ribosomal RNA
Rfam family: Bacterial small subunit ribosomal RNA
Source: RNAcentral